This 72-nucleotide transfer RNA is filed under the name Cavia porcellus (domestic guinea pig). It matches the Rfam family "tRNA". From Rfam's summary of the family: Transfer RNA (tRNA) molecules are approximately 80 nucleotides in length. Their secondary structure includes four short double-helical elements and three loops (D, anti-codon, and T loops). The record is from Rfam by way of RNAcentral. Lineage: Eukaryota; Metazoa; Chordata; Mammalia; Rodentia; Caviidae.
GGGGAUAUAGCUCAGUGGCACAGCACCAGCCUGGUAAGUAUGAGGUCCUGAGUUCAACUCCCAGUACCCCCC